Molecule: ribosomal RNA, 450 nt
Filed under: uncultured bacterium
Lineage: Bacteria
Description: partial 16S ribosomal RNA
Rfam family: Bacterial small subunit ribosomal RNA
Source: RNAcentral
GUGGGGAAUUUUGGACAAUGGGCGCAAGCCUGAUCCAGCCAUUCCGCGUGCAGGAUGAAGGCCUUCGGGUUGUAAACUGCUUUUGUACGGAACGAAAAGCCUCUGGUUAAUACCCGGGGGUCUUGACGGUACCGUAAGAAUAAGCACCGGCUAACUACGUGCCAGCAGCCGCGGUAAUACGUAGGGUGCGAGCGUUAAUCGGAAUUACUGGGCGUAAAGCGUGAGCAGGCGGUGAUGUAAGACAGUUGUGAAAUCCCCGGGCUCAACCUGGGAACUGCAUCUGUGACUGCAUUGCUGGAGUGCGGCAGAGGGGGAUGGAAUUCCGCGUGUAGCAGUGAAAUGCGUAGAUAUGCGGAGGAACACCGAUGGCGAAGGCAAUCCCCUGGGCCUGCACUGACGCUCAUGCACGAAAGCGUGGGGAGCAAACAGGAUUAGAUACCCUUGUAGUCC